CCUACGGGGGACAGCAGUGGGGGAUAUAGCACAAUGGGGGGAACCCUGAUGCAGCGACGCCGCGUGUGGGAAGACGGUCCUCUGGAUUGUAAACCACUGUCCCCAGGGACGAAAAUGACGGGACCUGGGGAGGAAGCGCCGGCUUACUACGUGCCAGCAGCCGCGGUAAUACGUAGGGAGCGAGCCUUGUCCGGAAUUACGGGGUGUAAGGGGAGCGUAGGGGGGGAUGCAAGUUGGGUGUCAAAACUACCGGCUCAACUGGUAGUCGCACUCCAAACUGCAGCUCUUGAGGGCAGGAGAGGCAGGCUGCAUUCCUAGUGUAGCGGUGAAAUGCUUAGAUCUUACGAAGAACUCCGAUUGC
Molecule: ribosomal RNA, 361 nt
Filed under: uncultured bacterium
Lineage: Bacteria
Description: partial 16S ribosomal RNA
Rfam family: Bacterial small subunit ribosomal RNA
Source: RNAcentral